GAGCGAAGGUACUCGCAUGCAUACCGGCCUUGUUACACACACACACACGCACGCACAUCUUCGAAACCGCAUACAUACACAGACACGUACAGCGCACGUGCACGCAGACGUACAUCGAUCGCGCGCACAUCUGCCGUUGCACACACUAACCGCUUUCCUCGUAAAUCUCACGGACACGCGUGCGUGCACCUAUCCGCCUCACCCUGCACUUUUAGCUGCUUGAGAGUCUUACGUGCGUUGAGCUCCUGUAGUCCUCUAUUACGCGCCGCACCCCUCUUACACGCCCGAGCACACACACACACACACACACGGGCAUCUCUCUCUCUUUCUCCGUCUCUUCCCCUUCAGCCUACGACAGCCUUGCAGCGUGCGUCUUCGCACGUAGUCGAGGACGUCUCUCCACGCAUGCGUGACUGCGCGUCUUCGACCUGUCAGCGCGCGCGCUUCGUGAAUCGUUCUUUCCAUUGUGUUGCUGCCCCCUCUGAGCCCUGCACUUGUGUGCGUGCUUGACGUGCCCUCUCAGCUCACACACACGCGCACACACACAUACUGUAUCGGCGGCGCCUCGGUGCGCGUGCGUCGUGGUUGCUGACCGUCGUUUCCCCUGCUCUUCCUCCGCCUGCGGCACCUGCGCCCGCCGUCGAGAAGGAUGAUCUCGACCCUCGGCGGCCUCUUCAACCUCAAUCACUUCGACCAGUCAAGCUGCGCCAACGAUGUCAUUGUGAUACGCCACAAGGAUGGCUCGCUGCGCAGCACCCCCUUCAACGUGCGCUUCGGGCGGGCGCAGAUGUGGAGCUACGUCGGUCGCGCCGUGCAGGUGGAGGUGAACGGUGAGCUGACGGCUGCCGUGAUGAAGAUCGGCAAGGGUGGCAAGGCCUACUGGCUGCAGCCAACCUACGGCGCCUUCGGCGAGGCCAGCCACGGUACGGCGGCGGCCAAACAAUCUGAGAAAGCCGGAGGCGGCAUGCUGCCUGCCGCCGCUGCCGUGGCGGGGGUGUCGGGCGCCGGCUGUGCCGCAAAGGGCGACGAAGAGGAGCUGGAUACCGUGGGCUCGCUUGUCAGUGCUGUGGAGGAAGUCGAGACGUUGGUGCUGAACACGGCGGAGCUGCAGCACCUCCCUAUCCGCCCCGAGUCGCCCCCAGAGCUGCCGUCCUUUUCAGCAGCGGGUUGCGACGCUUGGGAAACAGGCGAAGACGCAGCCGCUGAAGUUUCGCCGCCAUCGGCGGCGCUGCCACCUGGCCAGCGGCACUCCCCCACUGGCGCCCCGUGCCCUGCGAAAGAAAGCGACGCCAAGCCGUUUUCUAGCGAUGCGGGCCGUCAACGGAGGCCCGGCGAUCACCACUCCCGCUGUCAGGGCCCCGGCUCCCGUCUACCGCUUCUCCACACAGCCGAUGAUGGGCAUCUCACCAUCGAGACGCGCGCUAUCCACUCGGCCGGCGACGCGCAGGAGGCGCGACUCGCUCUUCGUGCGAUGGCGGCAGCAGAGAAGUCGCGAAAGCGGCUGUCGAAGAUGGGCUUUGGCGACGACCCGUACCUGCUGAAGACCGCGCGGGAGGAAGGCCACCUGGGCGACGACGAGGGCGACGACGAGGGCGACGACGAGGGCGACGACGACGGCCACCUCGGUGGCAACCGUCCCGAACCGCCCGCGGUCGAGAUCGUGGUGGACGCUGCGGAUGUGUCGCCCUCUUCGCGUGAAGCGACGGUGAGGGCUGCCGGUGACGGUAGUUUCCCACAGGCAUCGCUCAUCGUCACGCCGGUGGCUGCAGGUGAUGGCACUGACACACAAACCAUCGACCAGCUUGUGGCCCGACCCGCGACGAGGACGGAGGAAGGUGAGUCAGCGGGCCUGGCCCCGGCGCCGUCGUCGCCGCCGCAACCGCCUGUGGAAGCAGCCACCGCAGCGUCAUCGGCCACCUCGGUGACGGGGAGCACGGAUAGCUACAAGGUGGUGGACGAGGAUGCCUACUUUCUCGACCCCAUGGACACCGACCCCGACUACGCCGCGCUCUACGGAGAGGAAGAAGUGGCUCUGCUGAAGGGCGCGUCCUUCGAAAGCAGCGUCACGAGCGGUGUGUCGCCGCCUGACAUUUCCAUUAUGCUGGGCAACAUCGCUGCUGACGCAGCCACCACGCACCGCGGAUCGGCGAGUGCCAGCGAAGGUGAAUCGUGCUCUGCAGUGGAAGGCAGUCGUGUGAGCCGCAUCAGUGCGUCGCUUCUCCUAGAGCCACAGACUGUCGGAGCAGCGACCUCCUUCAUCAAGCAGCCGCCGCUGCCGUCUUUGCCGUCGCCAUCACAACCGACAGCCGAGAAUCAGGUCAGCAGCAGCGCCAAGGACGCCGACAAAGUCGCUGUGUCCCACGCGAGCACCGGCGUCUUGCACGCCCCCGAGGAGGUCACGGAUGCAGAGGGGCGCCCCGUGAGGCUGACGCCCACCGCCGGCGGCGCCGGUGGCGGCCCGUACUUCACCCGCACCAUUAUCCCGGUAGAAGCGGAUCUGUGGAAGCUGCACCUCAAGGAGGGCUGCAACACUGUCCGCUACCUGGCCCGCAAGGACAAGGGCGACAUUGUGUCAAUCUCGUGCAACAUAUUCCUCUGGAACUGGACGGACCGCCUCGUGGUGAGCGACGUGGACGGCACGAUCACGAAGAGCGACUUGCUCGGCCACUUCUAUGCGAUGCUGGGCAAAGGUGCAGACUGGACGCACCCCGGUAUCUGCAAUCUCUACUCCAAGAUUGAGCGCAACGGGUAUCGCAUGGUGUACCUGACGGCCCGCAGCGUGUCGCAGAUCAACCAAACGAAGUCGUACCUCUUCACGCUGCAGCAGGACGGGGUGCGGCUGCCGAUGGGCCCGGUGCUAACGGCACCGCAGCGCUUCUUCACUGCACUCACGCAAGAGGUAUCGAAGCAGUCUCAUGUCUUCAAGAUUGCGUGCCUCACGAGUGUGCGCGCCGCCUUUCCGCCCAGCACAAAGCCCUUCUUCGCCGGCUUUGGCAACCGAUACAACGACGUCAUCAGCUACGAUGCGGCGGGAAUCCCGACGCACAAGAUCUUCAUUAUUGACCCCUCGAGCGUGCUGCACGUGUGCCUGGUGCGGCAGACGUACCGCGACCUCGGCCACCUUGUCGACGUGACGUUUCCGCCCGUUAGGCGGCACCCCGUCGUUCUGCGCGCGCCACGGCAUCUUCAGCGAACCCACGGCACAGGGACGAGUACGUCGCCAGCUAAGGAUGCCGCGCCCGGUGGGCGCGACCGACACGCCUACACGCGCAGUCUGCUACACCGAUCUUCCUCUGCGUCGUCGUCCUCGGCCACCUCGCUUUCCUCCGCAGCGUCUUCGUCGUCGGACUCUCUGGAUCUGCGCGAGGAGGCGAGCGGCGGCGCCUCCGACUGUGGCGCGGAGGGCGCCCCCCACCACACGUCCGGGUCUGGGGCCUCCCCCGGUGGCGGCUCUCUCGCGGGCUGCCAUGCAUCCGCGGCGUUCAGCUUGGUGGAUUCGGAGCGUGUCGACAUGGUCGCCGCGAGCGCGCUGAGCGGCUCCGCUGCCAGCCCGGGAGAGCCGCCGGAACUCGACAAGGGCGGCGGCCCUACGCUCACCGGACUGCUUCCGGGGGCUGCUGCUGAGCUGUGGGCCCCACCAGUCCCCACAGCGGCCUCCUCCGCAGUGAUCUCGAGCCGCCCGCCCGGGGCCGAAAAAACAGGCGCUCCGUCGACCGCCUCUGCCUUGCCUGCAGUGAAGGCCAGCACCAGUGCCGCCAGCGCGCACAGGCCCAAGUACAACUAUGGCCAUCGCGCAACCUUCGCUGAGCUGAACGACGACGACGAUGACGUGUUCCAGGACGAGGAGGAGGUGCCGGCGGACCCCGAGUUUUCGUCCUUCGUGUACUGGCGCAUGGACCCACGCGACCUCAUCACCGUCCCCGCGGCGACAUCGAAGCCCUCUGCCUCUGCGACACGUGCCAACACCAAGGAGACAUCGGAGAAGGAGAAGCCGGGCGCGGUGGCCAGUGGCACCGAUGCGCCGAAGAAGGUCGCCACAACCACCGCGGCUGCCGCAGCUUCCACCGAAGACAAUGGCCACAUGAAGUCAGCGGCGGCAGCGGCACCCUCAGCACCUACACAGACGGGAGGCGCCGCCUUCGACACGGCGAGCGCAGGUGCAGCGUCGCCGAGCGGAGUCUCCGCUGCCAGCGAUGCAGCAGCACCGAGGCCCGGCGGCGGUGACGGCAGCCGCCUCUCGCUUUUCUCACUUACGGUUUCGAACUCCGGCACCGGGCCGCCGAUGCAAGGGGCGACGAACUCGCUCGACAAAGGCCGAGCGGGAGGCUCUGCCACGGGCGCGGCGGCGAUGACGGGACUGACUUCACACGAUACCCUCUCGGAAAUGCAGAAGCCACAACCGCGGACCCCCGGCAGGCCCGGCAGCCCGUACAACGACUCGGAGGGAGCGGCGGAGACAAACGUGGACGCGGUCAGGCUAUCACUCCUGCCGCAAUCACUACCACCGCCGCCGCCGCCGACGACGCAGCCUGCCGCGAUCUUGCCGUCCACCAGCGGGGGUGGCGGCAGCCGUGGCUUCUUUUCCGCUUUCUCGUUCGGACGCAGUCGCGUCGUCGAGUCGCCGUUGUCGCCCACCUCGCAGAGGGCCGCGCAGUUGCGUGAGGACGCAAAGCAGCGCGCGCUAUCGCACCCCGACGCGCAGUACUACUGUGUGGCGCAGCAGCAGCCCGCGCCGCAGCUGGCGCCGUUCCCUGGCGACGGCACAUCAUCGGCGAAAGCUAGCGCUCCGGCACCGCCGCCAAAGUGAAGCGGCGCUGCCGCGGCGGCGAAGGCGAUGAUUCUCUUCACGACAGAGUUUGCCGGUGCUACAUCAGCACCCUCCAUCGACCCGUUGUCGCCCCCUCCCCUUCCCCUCCCUCCUCUCUCUCUCUCUCCCUUUCGCCCGCCCACCCGCAAACCUUCUCCGUCCGUCUAUCAGUGUUUCCAUCUCUUUCUGUAUCUCUCUGUGUGCGUACGCUUGUGUGCAACUUGCAGUGUUGUUUCGUGCCCAGCUAUUGCAAACCCCUCCUUCCUUUCCUUUCCCUGCCCUCGCCCUCUCGCCUUUCGGUUCACACCGCUGUGCGUUUGAGCUGUGCGUGCGCGUCUCUGUCCUGGAUGCUGCCCUUGGGUGAGGAGAGAGGAAGAGGCCGCGGUGGCGUGGCUGUCGCGCGGGAGGGUGUGUGGGAGGGUGUGUGCACUGUGCAGCUCUCUCCUGCAAGCAGAAGGGCCGCAUGUACGUGCUCACGCGCUCAAGCCAGUCUCGCGCGCGCUGCGAGAGUGUGCGUGCUCGUGUGAGGGUUCGCGGAAUCGGUCGCUCAUGCUUAUGUCCGUCUUGGUGUUGUGCUCGCGAGGCGGAGCAGCGGCAUUCCGUCGCCCCUCCUCUUUCUUUGCUUCUCUGUUCUUCAAUUCGCGAUCUCACAGAGGCCCGCUGCUCACACCCUCCCUCUCCCUCCCUUUCCCACCUCUCGGCCACCGGUCGGCUCCGUUCCCUCUGCCGUCGAGAAAGGACGGGCAUGUCCAGCGCCUCCCUUUCUCUCUCGCGCGCGCGCGUCUUCUGUUGCUUGC
Molecule: unclassified non-coding RNA, 5604 nt
Filed under: Leishmania donovani
Lineage: Eukaryota; Euglenozoa; Kinetoplastea; Trypanosomatida; Trypanosomatidae
Description: gene:LdHU3.06.1000(CDS-product:lipin_putative)
Source: RNAcentral